CAGUCGCCGCGGUAAUACAGAGGGUGCGAGCGUUAAUCGGAUUUACUGGGCGUAAAGCGUGCGUAGGCGGCUAAUUGAGUCGGAUGUGAAAUCCCCGAGCUUAACUUGGGAAUUGCAUUCGAUACUGGUUAGCUAGAGUGUGGGAGAGGAUGGUAGAAUUCCAGGUGUAGCGGUGAAAUGCGUAGAGAUCUGGAGGAAUACCGAUGGCGAAGGCAGCCAUCUGGCCUAACACUGACGCUGAGGUACGAAAGCAUGGGGAGCAAACAGGAUUAGAUACCCAGUAGUCCCUGUCUCUUAUACA
Molecule: ribosomal RNA, 301 nt
Filed under: uncultured bacterium
Lineage: Bacteria
Description: partial 16S ribosomal RNA
Rfam family: Bacterial small subunit ribosomal RNA
Source: RNAcentral